RNAcentral lists this transfer RNA (77 nucleotides) under Bacillota bacterium. Its description in RNAcentral is "tRNA-Asp". It matches the Rfam family "tRNA". Rfam says of the family: Transfer RNA (tRNA) molecules are approximately 80 nucleotides in length. Their secondary structure includes four short double-helical elements and three loops (D, anti-codon, and T loops). The record is from RNAcentral. RNAcentral also lists the same sequence under 1 other name. Lineage: Bacteria; Bacillati; Bacillota.
GGAGCUGUGGUGUAGCGGCCCAACAUGCCGGCCUGUCACGCCGGAGACCGCGGGUUCGAAUCCCGUCAGCUCCGCCA